Molecule: ribosomal RNA, 477 nt
Filed under: uncultured bacterium
Lineage: Bacteria
Description: bacterial SSU rRNA
Rfam family: Bacterial small subunit ribosomal RNA
Source: RNAcentral
CUUAGUGGCGAACGGGUGAGUAACGCGUGAGCAUCUGCCUCGGAGUGGGGGACAACAGUUGGAAACGACUGCUAAUACCGCAUAAUGGGGCAUCCCCAAAGCUUUAGUGCUCUGAGAUGAGCUCGCGUCUGAUUAGAUAGUUGGUGGGGUAACGGCCUACCAAGUCGACGAUCAGUAGCCGGACUGAGAGGUUGAACGGCCACAUUGGGACUGAGAUACGGCCCAGACUCCUACGGGAGGCAGCAGUGGGGAAUAUUGCACAAUGGGCGAAAGCCUGAUGCAGCGACGCCGCGUGAGUGAAGAAGUAUUUCGGUAUGUAAAGCUCUAUCACCAGGGAAGAAAAUGACGGUACCUGACUAACAAGCCCCGGCUAACUACGUGCCAGCAGCCGCGGUAAUACGUAGGGGGCAAGCGUUAUCCGGAUUUACUGGGUGUAAAGGGAGCGUAGACGGCGAAGCAAGUCUGAAGUGAAAACCC